RNAcentral lists this unclassified non-coding RNA (378 nucleotides) under plant metagenome. RNAcentral's name for it is "partial contains 5.8S ribosomal RNA, internal transcribed spacer 2, and large subunit ribosomal RNA". The stretch from base 1 to 105 matches the Rfam family "5.8S ribosomal RNA", at positions 50 to 154 of the family's 154-position model. The record is from RNAcentral.
GAAAUGGGAUAAGUAAUGUGAAUUGCAGAAUUCAGUGAAUCAUCGAAUCUUUGAACGCACCUUGCGCUCCUUGGUAUUCCUUGGAGCAUGCCUGUUUGAGUAUCAUGAAAUCUUCAAAGUAAAUCUUUUGUUAACUCAAUUGGUUUCUACUUUGGUAUUGGAGGUCUUUGCAGCUUCACACCUGCUCCUCUUUGUUCAUUAGCUGGAUCUCAGUGUUAUGCUUGGUUCCACUCGGCGUGAUAAGUUAUCUAUCGCUGAGGACACUGUAAAAGGUGGCCAAGGUAAAUGCAGAUGAACCGCUUCUAAUAGUCCAUUGACUUGGACAAUACUUUUAUGAUCUGAUCUCAAAUCAGGUAGGACUACCCGCUGAACUUAAGC